Oryctolagus cuniculus (rabbit) is the source of this 158-nucleotide small nuclear RNA. Its record names the gene U2. It matches the Rfam family "U2 spliceosomal RNA". Rfam says of the family: U2 is a small nuclear RNA (snRNA) component of the spliceosome (involved in pre-mRNA splicing). Complementary binding between U2 snRNA (in an area lying towards the 5' end but 3' to hairpin I) and the branchpoint sequence (BPS) of the intron results the bulging out of an unpaired adenosine, on the BPS, which initiates a nucleophilic attack at the intronic 5' splice site, thus starting the first of two transesterification reactions that mediate splicing. The record is from Ensembl. Lineage: Eukaryota; Metazoa; Chordata; Mammalia; Lagomorpha; Leporidae.
AUCGCUUCUCAGCCUUUUGGCUAAGAUCAAGUGGGAAGAAUAAAUAUAAUUGUGUUUAAUUCUAAAUAAUUUUCUCUGUGAGACUGUUUUGUUUUGAUAGUCGUCUCUUCAACACUCUCCACCUUUGGUUUAUUGCACAUAUGAUGGGAAGAUUAUAG